This 675-nucleotide ribosomal RNA is filed under the name Brucella intermedia. RNAcentral's name for it is "bacterial SSU rRNA". It matches the Rfam family "Bacterial small subunit ribosomal RNA", at positions 102 to 815 of the family's 1533-position model. Lineage: Bacteria; Pseudomonadati; Pseudomonadota; Alphaproteobacteria; Hyphomicrobiales; Brucellaceae. The record is from RNAcentral.
AUGGGUGAGAACGCGUGGGACGUACCAUUUGCUACGGAAUAACUCAGGGAAACUUGUGCUAAUACCGUAUGUGCCCGAAAGGGGAAAGAUUUAUCGGCAAAUGAUCGGCCCGCGUUGGAUUAGCUAGUUGGUGGGGUAAAGGCCUACCAAGGCGACGAUCCAUAGCUGGUCUGAGAGGAUGAUCAGCCACACUGGGACUGAGACACGGCCCAGACUCCUACGGGAGGCAGCAGUGGGGAAUAUUGGACAAUGGGCGCAAGCCUGAUCCAGCCAUGCCGCGUGAGUGAUGAAGGCCCUAGGGUUGUAAAGCUCUUUCACCGGUGAAGAUAAUGACGGUAACCGGAGAAGAAGCCCCGGCUAACUUCGUGCCAGCAGCCGCGGUAAUACGAAGGGGGCUAGCGUUGUUCGGAUUUACUGGGCGUAAAGCGCACGUAGGCGGGCUAAUAAGUCAGGGGUGAAAUCCCGGGGCUCAACCCCGGAACUGCCUUUGAUACUGUUAGUCUUGAGUAUGGUAUACGUGAGUGAAAUUCCGAGUGUAGAGGUGAAAUUCGUAGAUAUUCGGAGGAGCACCAGUGGGGGAAGGGGCUCAUUGGACCAUUACUGACGCUGAGGAACGAAAGCCUGGGCAUCGAACAGGAUUAGAUAACCUGGGGGUGCACGCCGAAUCAAUAAAUC